This 279-nucleotide ribosomal RNA is filed under the name uncultured prokaryote. RNAcentral's name for it is "partial 16S ribosomal RNA". It matches the Rfam family "Bacterial small subunit ribosomal RNA", at positions 355 to 626 of the family's 1533-position model. The record is from RNAcentral.
UGAGGAAUCUUGCGCAAUGGGGGAAACCCUGACGCAGCAACGCCGCGUGAGUGAGGAAGGUCUUCGGAUCGUAAAGCUCUGUCGGGUGGAAAGAAAUGUAUGGGGUGAAUAGCCUUCAUACUUGACGGUACCACCAAAGGAAGCACCGGCUAACUCCGUGCCAGCAGCCGCGGUAAUACGGGGGGUGCAAGCGUUGUUCGGAAUUAUUGGGCGUAAAGAGCGUGUAGGCGGCUUGUCAAGUCAGAGGUGAAAGCCCUGGGCUUAACCCAGGAAGUGCAU